UAUUUAAGUAGCUUAUAUUUAGAGCCUAGUAUUGAAGAUACUAUAGAAGUAGUUUACUCUUAAAU
Molecule: transfer RNA, 65 nt
Filed under: Tomicus brevipilosus
Lineage: Eukaryota; Metazoa; Arthropoda; Insecta; Coleoptera; Curculionidae
Description: tRNA-Phe
Source: RNAcentral